AUGCUUCUUGUAAGAAGUGCCCGCAUUGUCCUUGCCCUUCCGUUUCUAGUUGCUAUCCCAAUAAUCAUCGCGCUUUCUUUGAUGUUCAAACUCAAAACAUUUGUUUCUAAGCUCUCUUUUUUUCUUCUGCUCAAGGCCAUGCCUUGGAUCCUUUUCUCUAGGAAUUUCACGUCUGUUACGGCCCUUGUUUGGGCUAAGAACCUCAACUCCGUGCCUGAUGAGGACAUGGCUAUCUUGGAUAUGAUCAAAAAUAUUGCAUACGUGCAUAUUUAUGAGGUGAAUUUUAAUGUAAACUAUGCAAUAAUUUAUUUAUAUUAUCCAGGACAAAAAUACUUGACAGACUUUUGUGCUAUGUCUAAUUGCAUGUCUAUGGGACAUUUGUACAAUCCACAUAUGAAGAAAAGGGGAAAAAGAUAA
RNAcentral lists this ribosomal RNA (417 nucleotides) under Triticum aestivum (bread wheat). RNAcentral describes it as "partial small subunit ribosomal RNA". Lineage: Eukaryota; Viridiplantae; Streptophyta; Magnoliopsida; Poales; Poaceae. The record is from RNAcentral.